AUAAAAACCAGGACCUUGUGGGCGGCGCCCUCACAAACACUAUGCUGCAUGGUGGGUUAGAACAAAGGAACACGUGGACGUUCUCUGCAACUAUCAAGUCAGACCGACUGAAUCAGACGGCGAUUGAGAUCAUUAGAUCUGCUGAUUUAACGAGCUCCCAGCACCCCGUGCAGCUGCGGCAGUGAAGGAAAUGACAGACUUGAGGGUGAGAGCUAGAAGCAGACUGGUUUACAAAGCACCAGGAAUACCUCCUCUUCUAAAACACAUGGUCCAAGAAAAUGAGAGAUGAUUUCUCAAGUGGUAAACAAAGCACGGUAAUACCUGGUGGAGAUGUUUCCAUCCAGCCACUCAUCCAUUACUGUGUUGAUUUCAUAACCCUUACAGGCAAAGUCAAAACUCACAGGAAGAUUA
This is a non-coding RNA of Paralichthys olivaceus (Japanese flounder), 411 nucleotides long. Lineage: Eukaryota; Metazoa; Chordata; Actinopteri; Pleuronectiformes; Paralichthyidae. The record is from RefSeq and is a predicted model, not a curated record.